CUUGGGAGUACGCCCGCAAGGUUGAACUCAAAGGAAUNGACGGGACCCGCACAAGCGGUGGAUGAUGUGUUUAAUUNGAUGCAACGCGAAAAACCUUACCCACNUUUGACAUGUACGGAAGUUGCCAGAGAUGGUUCGUGCUCGAAAGAGAACCGUAACACAGGUGCUGCAUGGCUGUCGUCAGCUCGUGUCGUGAGAUGUUGGGUUAAGUCCCGCAACGAGCGCAACCCUUGUCAUUAGUUGCUACAUUCAGUUGGGCACUCUAAUGAGACUGCCGGUGACAAACCGGAGGAAGGUGGGGAUGACGUCAAGUCCUCAUGGCCCUUAUAGGUGGGGCUACACACGUCAUACAAUGGCUGGUACAAAGGGUUGCCAACCCGCGAGGGGGAGCUAAUCCCAUAAAGCCAGUCGUAGUCCGGAUCGCAGUCUGCAACUCGACUGCGUGAAGUCGGAAUCGCUAGUAAUCGUGGAUCAGAAUGUCACGGUGAAUACGUUCCCGGGUNUUGUACACACCGCCCGUCACACCAUGGGAGCGGGUU
RNAcentral lists this ribosomal RNA (539 nucleotides) under Amazonian soil bacterium P17. Its description in RNAcentral is "bacterial SSU rRNA". It matches the Rfam family "Bacterial small subunit ribosomal RNA", at positions 873 to 1416 of the family's 1533-position model. The record is from RNAcentral.